This is a long non-coding RNA of Gadus morhua (Atlantic cod), 4551 nucleotides long. The record is from Ensembl. NCBI's taxonomy places the organism in Eukaryota, Metazoa, Chordata, Actinopteri, Gadiformes, Gadidae.
AUGCAUAACGCCAUUAGCCCUAGAAAAAGGAAAUUCAAAUCUAUAGACGGUAAUCCCAAGAGACGGCGUAGAUCUGAUAGUGGGGGUAGCAUUAUGGAUUUAGAACUUGAAGAGAUGGCAAUGAGGUAUGACGCAACCGGCGAUACGUCUCAUUUGUCGGCCGUAGGACAUGUGGGGGGUGGGGGCAUGUAUGCAGAAGGUUGUUUAGACAUGCGGGAAAUGUGUGUUGGCAUAGAUAGAACUAGGCGUGUGUUAAUUGCAGCUGAUGCAUGGGGGCAUAGCAUGGCUAAUGCUCUAUAUCAGGCAGCACAGAUAAAUGUUUCGAACGAAUCAGGUCUAGAUGAGAUGGUGGGGCUAGAGGCGCCAGGAGAUUUAGACACUAGGGGUGUGUUGUAUGCGGGGGCAAACACACGAAAGGUACUUAACGCUGUCGGGGGGUGGUUGGAUAGUGCACAAGAGAGUCUAUACAUAUCAGCGCAGAUCGAUGUACUGCAUGGGUCGCAAUGUGAUGAAGGGAUUGGCGAGGGUUUUCAGGACCCCCCGGCUGUGGCAGGGGUCCCUAUAGAGUCGAAUAUACAGGUCGGUGGGGGCGGUGUGGGGGGUGGUGGCGGUAGUGGCGUGGGGGGCGGUAGCGGUAGUGGCGUGGGGGGCGGUGGCGGUGGUGGCGGUGAUGGUGGUGGCGUGGGAGGAGGCGAUGGUGGUGGUGAUGUUGAUGGUGAUGGCAGUGGUGACGGUGAUGGUGGUGGUGACGGUGAUGGUGGUGCUGCUGAUGCUGAUGAUGGUACACCUGUGCCUGCUGUAACGGGGGAAGAUAAUGACGAGUUGCAUUCCAGAUUAUUUCCCCAUUUUAACGGCUUUGAGGUUAGACAGGCCAUUGAUCUGAGAAGUAUAGCCCUUGCAAAUUUACAGGAGGUCCCUGAUUUGAUCAGGGAGAGGCUGUCGGGUGUCAUAACGAGCUGCUCACAAAGUUCAGCCGAUGGUAGUGUCUUAAACGUGGUGCUGAGAGGCCCUUCAUUGGCCUCUGAUGUACAGACUGUGCUCGUAUCGGGUGACGACUACAAUGCGGAUUUGUUUAUGGACCAUAUUAGCCAAGUCAUGCAAAGUAACGACACAGGUCUGACGGAUGACGUGCUAGAGUUGGUGGUCACAGGGGUCCACAACAAGCGGGGUGGGGCACGUUUGAAGUUAAAAAACAUUCCCUAUGAUGAAAUCAUAUACAAGAAGAAGCUAAGUCUCUACACCCCGAGUAAUACUCAUAACAAUUUGUGUUUCUCACUAUGCAUGACACAUUUUCUGCAUGAAGGGGUAACCGGGGGUGACACAGCGUCCGAAGAGACUAAUUUGGAGGCGGCUCGCAAAUUACACAGUGAUCUGGGGUUUGACCCGGAUCACUCUGUGGGUUUCUCGGAUGUAUCCAAAUUUGAGAGACAUCUAGAUGUUAAAAUCCUGAUAUUUCAUCAUAAUGACACAUUCAGGAAGCUGGAGAUGUUCCAGACACAUACAGCCCAGCAUCCUAAAACAGUAUGGCUGUACCUCCAUGAUAACCAUUACCAUUGCAUAGAGAACAGAACGGCAUUCUUUGGUACGGGAUAUGUGUGUGAAUAUUGUUACAAGGCCCAUGAGGGAAUUCUAUUCCACAAAUGCCCGAUCCAUUGCAAUGUGUGUCUGACAGUGUGCGAUAGACUAGCAGGUCGUACGAUAAAGUGCAAGGACUGCAGUCGUAUAUGCCGCUCGCAGGUCUGCUACAACACACACAAGAAGCAUUCUGCCAAACAUGACAUGAUACCUUGUGAAAAGCUCAAAUACUGCGAUCGUUGUUGUAGACAGUAUAUCAUACCGAAGAAGAAGAAGAAGGGGGUGGGGGAGGGGGAGGAGGAGGAGGAGAAGGGUGACGCUAAUGGUCAUGUAUGCAGCGAUGCAAAGUGUCGUAAGUGUGGGGAGCCGAUGCCCGAAGAGGGAAUACAUGAUUGCUAUAUCCAGCCGUACGACAAGAAAAAGAAAAAGAAACGCAGGGGUGGUCCAUCGGAUGACGAUGAUGACGACGCUCCGCCUAAUAAAUACAUAUACUAUGAUUUCGAAACGCGCGUGCAUGAUGGUCGUCACGAAGCAAACUGUGUGGCGGCUAUUACGUCUGAAGGCAUAGAAUGGUAUGCUACCGGUCUAGAUUGUGUAAGAGAGUUUGUGAAACGCUACAGAACAGGGGAGUAUACGUUGUAUACAUUUGUGGCACACAAUGCGUCGGGCUUUGAUAACUAUAUCGUCCUGGACUACAUGACCAAGCAGGGUAUUAAACCCGUUUUAGUCAUGAAGGGUAGCAGAGUCAUUUUGAUGCGUGAUGACGCCUACCAUCAGAGAUGGGUCGACUCGUUUAGCUAUUUGCCCAUGCGACUGGCUAAUGCACCGGAGGCGUUGGAUUUUGAUGAUAUGGUAAAAGGUUAUUUUCCUCAUAAAUUCAACACACGGGCCAACGAGUCUUAUGUCGGUGCCUACCCUGAGAUCUCAUAUUAUGGUUAUGAUUCCAUGACUAGCGAUCAAAAGACAGAUUUCGCUAUUUGGUACAGAUCUGUACGACACAAAAAAUUUGACUUUCAGAAACAGCUGCGUCGCUACUGUGUCAACGAUGUGAUGAUCCUGUACACAGCGUGUGGGAUCUACAGGGAAAAUUUCAUAGAGUGUGCCAAUAUAGACCCCCUGGCCUAUGCCACCCUGGCUUCGGCGUGCAUGGCCACCUUCAAAAAGUCGUUCUUGAAGAAAAACGUCCUGGCAUUGACCUACGAGGGGGUCUAUAGGAAAAAGAAAAAGUCGUUCUCAUGUGCAUCCAUCCAGUGGCUUGAAUAUCUAUCCCGCUCCAAUAGCCUGGAGAUUCGGCAUGCUCUCAACCAUGGAGAGGCUAAAUAUGGGCCAUUCUUCCUAGACGGACAUGCCCCGUCUAUAAACACAGCCUAUGAAUUUGCAGGAUGCUUUUAUCAUGGGUGUGAACAUUGUUACAACGCUGGACACCAGAACCCUGUCCUCAAGAAGACCUAUGGCGAAUUGUGGGUGCAGUUUCACCUCAAAGUCAAGGCUCUCAAAAGAGAUCAUGGUUUAAGAGUCGUGGUCAUGUGGGAGUGUGAGUGGCACCGUCUGAAAAAGACCAAUGCUGCAGUGCAGGCAUUCUUGGCUACUCUGAAGAUACAACCCAGGAUUGAUCCUCGCGACUCUCUCUAUGGGGGUCGCACCAACGCCAUCAAAAUGUAUCACAAGGCCGAGCCCGGUGAGAAAAUACGCUACUAUGACUUUACCUCUCUCUACCCCACAGUACAGGCUCGCUGUCCUUAUCCUGUAGGGCACCCCCAGAUCAUUUUCAGGAAUUUUGAUCCUUUGGAUGGGUAUUUCGGCAUCAUCAAAUGCACUGUGUUGCCCCCCAGAGGUCUUUACCAUCCUGUGCUCCCUUACAGGUGUCAUGGGAAGCUGAUGUUUCCCCUCUGUGGUACAUGUGCCGCUGAGCUCAAUCAGACAGCCGCGUGUCAUCACAGCAACGAUGAACGGGCUCUGACAGGCACCUGGGUGACUUUUGAGCUACAAAAAGCAGUUGAAAUGGGCUACGUGUUAAUCCAGAUGCAUGAGGUGUGGCACUACCCCAAACGGUCAGAGACUCUGUUUAAAGGGUAUGUCAAAACGUUUCUCAAGCGUAAACAGGAGGCUUCAGGAUACCCCAGCACAGUGGAUACUGCGGAGAAACAGCGGGUGUAUGUGCAAAACUACCUGGCAAAGGAAGGCAUACUGCUGGAUCGCGACAACAUGUGUGUGAACAAGGCCAUGCGUAAUUGCAACAAGUUGAUUCUAAACAGUCUGUGGGGUCGCUUUUCACUACGCCCAGACCUGCCCACUUGUGAGCUAAUUUCUGAACCUGAAAGGUUCACUCAGCUCAUGUUUAGAGACAGCUAUCACAUUAGUCACUUUUGCUUUAUCUCUGAUGCUGUGGCCCUUGUACAAUGGAAACACGUAGAUGCACGUCUCGCGAGGGCGCGGGAUGUCAACGUGAUUGUGGGGGCUGUGACUACUGCCCAUGCCAGGCUCAUGCUCUACGAUCUUCUAGACAAACUACAGGAACGUGUCCUCUAUUGUGACACAGACAGCAUCAUUUUUGUUUCUAAGGAGGGUGAUUGGGUACCCCCUUUAGGCCCUUAUCUGGGCGACUUGACCGACGAGAUAAAUGAUGGUGAUCUGUAUGGUACCGAACAGGAGGAUUACAUUAGUGAAUAUGUCUCAACAGGUCCUAAAAGCUAUGCAUACCACACCCGUCACCACAAGUCUGUCGUCAAAAGCAAAGGGGUGACUUUAAAUGCAGCAAAUGCUGCAGUGGUCACCCAGCAGACACUGAAAUGUCUAUUGGAUGAUUUUGUCAACCAACGGCCUCAAACCCUCGACAUCACCACCACAGUAGAUACCAUCCAGCGAGAUAAGACUAGGUUUCUGCUUAAAAACGCUACUGUAGUUAAACGGCUUAGGGUAGUUUACAACAAACGCAGGGUCUUCCCCGACUACACCACGCUUCCUUACGGUUAUUAA